This 852-nucleotide ribosomal RNA is filed under the name Melanoleuca pallidorosea. RNAcentral's name for it is "partial large subunit ribosomal RNA". It matches the Rfam family "Eukaryotic large subunit ribosomal RNA", at positions 77 to 915 of the family's 3401-position model. Lineage: Eukaryota; Fungi; Basidiomycota; Agaricomycetes; Agaricales; Pluteaceae. The record is from RNAcentral.
CCCCUAGUAACUGCGAGUGAAGCGGGAAAAGCUCAAAUUUAAAAUCUGGCAGUCUCUGGCUGUCCGAGUUGUAAUCUAGAGAAGUGUUAUCCGCGCUGGACCAUGUACAAGUCUCCUGGAACGGAGCGUCAUAGAGGGUGAGAAUCCCGUCUUUGACAUGGACUACCAGGGCUUUGUGAUGCGCUCUCAAAGAGUCGAGUUGUUUGGGAAUGCAGCUCAAAAUGGGUGGUAAAUUCCAUCUAAAGCUAAAUAUUGGCGAGAGACCGAUAGCGAACAAGUACCGUGAGGGAAAGAUGAAAAGAACUUUGGAAAGAGAGUUAAACAGUACGUGAAAUUGUUGAAAGGGAAACGCUUGAAGUCAGUCGCAUUGGCCAGGGAUCAACCUUACAUUUGUUGGGUGUACUUUCUGGUUAAUGGGUCAGCAUCAAUUUUGACUGUUGGAAAAAGGUCAGGGGAAUGUGGCAUCUUCGGAUGUGUUAUAGCCCUUGGUUGUAUACAGCAGUUGGGAUUGAGGAACUCAGCACGCCGCAAGGCCGGGUUUUUAACCACGUACGUGCUUAGGAUGCUGGCAUAAUGGCUUUAAUCGACCCGUCUUGAAACACGGACCAAGGAGUCUAACAUGCCUGCGAGUGUUUGGGUGGAAAACCCAUGCGCGUAAUGAAAGUGAAAGUUGAGAUCUCUGUCGUGGAGAGCAUCGACGCCCGGACCAGACCUUUUGUGACGGUCCCGCGGUAGAGCAUGUAUGUUGGGACCCGAAAGAUGGUGAACUAUGCCUGAAUAGGGUGAAGCCAGAGGAAACUCUGGUGGAGGCUCGUAGCGAUUCUGACGUGCAAAUCGAUCGUCGAAUUUGGG